Molecule: ribosomal RNA, 153 nt
Filed under: Aragoa corrugatifolia
Lineage: Eukaryota; Viridiplantae; Streptophyta; Magnoliopsida; Lamiales; Plantaginaceae
Description: 5.8S ribosomal RNA
Rfam family: 5.8S ribosomal RNA
About the family: 5.8S ribosomal RNA (5.8S rRNA) is a component of the large subunit of the eukaryotic ribosome. It is transcribed by RNA polymerase I as part of the 45S precursor that also contains 18S and 28S rRNA.
Source: RNAcentral
CUCUCGGCAACGGAUAUCUCGGCUCUCGCAUCGAUGAAGAACGUAGCGAAAUGCGAUACUUGGUGUGAAUUGCAGAAUCCCGUGAACCAUCGAGUCUUUGAACGCAAGUUGCGCCCGAAGCCUUCUGGUUGAGGGCACGCCUGCCUGGGCGUC